RNAcentral lists this ribosomal RNA (938 nucleotides) under Mycoplasma haemofelis. Its description in RNAcentral is "bacterial SSU rRNA". It matches the Rfam family "Bacterial small subunit ribosomal RNA", at positions 224 to 1205 of the family's 1533-position model. Lineage: Bacteria; Bacillati; Mycoplasmatota; Mollicutes; Mycoplasmatales; Mycoplasmataceae. The record is from RNAcentral.
GAUUGGGAUAUGCUCUAUUAGCUAGUUGGCGGGAUAAAAGCCCACCAAGGCAAUGAUAGAUAGCUGGUCUUAGAGGAUGAACAGCCACAAUGGGAUUGAGAUACGGCCCAUAUUCCUACGGGAAGCAGCAGUAGGGAAUCUUCCACAAUGGACGAAAGUCUGAUGGAGCAAUACCAUGUGAACGAUGAAGGCCUUUUUGGUUGUAAAGUUCUUUUACGAGGGAUAAUUAUGAUAGUACUUCGUGAAUAAGUGACAGCAAACUAUGUGCCAGCAGCUGCGGUAAUACAUAGGUCGCGAGCAUUAUUCGGAUUUAUUGGGCGUAAAGCAAGCGCAGGCGGAUGUGUAAGUUCUGUGUUAAAUGCAGCUACUCAAUAGUUGUAUGCACCGAAUACUACAUGUCUAGAUUGUGGUAGGGAGUUUCGGAAUUAAGCAUGGAGCGGUGGAAUGUGUAGAUAUGCUUAAGAACACCAGAGGCGAAGGCGGAAACUUAGGCCAUAAAUGACGCUUAGGCUUGAAAGUGUGGGGAGCAAAUGGGAUUAGAUACCCCAGUAGUCCACACCGUAAACGAUGGGUAUUAGAUAUUAGGGCUUUAGCUUUAGUGUUGUAGCUUACGCGUUAAAUACCCCGCCUGGGUAGUACAUAUGCAAAUAUGAAACUCAAAGGAAUUGACGGGGAUCUGAACAAGUGGUGGAGCAUGUUGCUUAAUUCGAUAAUACACGAAAAACCUUACCAAGGUUUGACAUCCCUCGCAAAGCUAUAGAAAUAUAGUAGAGGUUAUCGAGGUGACAGGUGGUGCAUGGCUGUCGUCAGCUCGUGUCUUGAGAUGUUUGGUUAAGUCCCGCAACGAGCGCAACCCCACUCUUUAGUUACUUGUCUAAAGAGACUGCACAGUAAUGUAGAGGAAGGAUGGGAUCACGUCAAGUCAUCAUGCCCCUUAU